UUCAAUCAAUGCGUCAAUU
This 19-nucleotide unclassified non-coding RNA is filed under the name Chlamydomonas reinhardtii. RNAcentral's name for it is "small RNA Cre_3779". The record is from RNAcentral. Lineage: Eukaryota; Viridiplantae; Chlorophyta; Chlorophyceae; Chlamydomonadales; Chlamydomonadaceae.